RNAcentral lists this ribosomal RNA (453 nucleotides) under uncultured Anaplasma sp. Its description in RNAcentral is "bacterial SSU rRNA". It matches the Rfam family "Bacterial small subunit ribosomal RNA", at positions 70 to 554 of the family's 1533-position model. Lineage: Bacteria; Pseudomonadati; Pseudomonadota; Alphaproteobacteria; Rickettsiales; Anaplasmataceae. The record is from RNAcentral.
UCUUUAUAGCUUGCUAUAAAGAAUAAUUAGUGGCAGACGGGUGAGUAAUGCAUAGGAAUCUACCUAGUAGUAUGGGAUAGCCACUAGAAAUGGUGGGUAAUACUGUAUAAUCCCUGCGGGGGAAAGAUUUAUCGCUAUUAGAUGAGCCUAUGUUAGAUUAGCUAGUUGGUAGGGUAAAGGCCUACCAAGGCGAUGAUCUAUAGCUGGUCUGAGAGGAUGAUCACCCACACCGGAACUGAGAUACGGUCCAGACUCCUACGGGAGGCAGCAGUGGGGAAUAUUGGACAAUGGGCGCAAGCCUGAUCCAGCUAUGCCGCGUGAGUGAGGAAGGCCUUAGGGUUGUAAAACUCUUUCAGUAGGAAAGAUAAUGACGGUACCUACAGAAGAAGUCCCGGCAAACUCCGUGCCAGCAGCCGCGGUAAUACGGAGGGGGCAAGCGUUGUUCGGAAUUAU